CUGAGAACAAACAACAGGAAGACUUGAGUCCCAGGAAGUAGUCUGCGACACACUUGGAUAUUUCUAAUUUACAGAGCAAGGCAACAUCUCUGCUCCUGAUCCACUGUGAUUUGAUCUGCCACGCCACCGCGGAGACAGACGGAGCAACCCUUCAUUCCGGUCACACUCGCAGACUUUGCUGGGUCAGCCGCUGUGACUCAGUGUGCGCACCCCCGACCGGGCUGGCACAGGUGGGUGUGCACAUGCAUGCCAGCUUCCAGCAGCACAGCCGCCGCGAGGGGCCUCCUCGGGGGCCCAGGCCAGGGG
This 306-nucleotide long non-coding RNA is filed under the name Fukomys damarensis (Damara mole-rat). Its description in RNAcentral is "lncRNA (ENSFDAG00000024547.1)". The record is from RNAcentral. Lineage: Eukaryota; Metazoa; Chordata; Mammalia; Rodentia; Bathyergidae.